This 59-nucleotide microRNA precursor is filed under the name Mus musculus (house mouse). Lineage: Eukaryota; Metazoa; Chordata; Mammalia; Rodentia; Muridae. The record is from RNAcentral. RNAcentral also lists the same sequence under 1 other name.
AGAGGCUGGCCGUGAUGAAUUCGAUUCAUCUAAACGAGUCAUACACGGCUCUCCUCUCU